Molecule: long non-coding RNA, 1096 nt
Filed under: Heterocephalus glaber (naked mole-rat)
Lineage: Eukaryota; Metazoa; Chordata; Mammalia; Rodentia; Bathyergidae
Description: lncRNA (ENSHGLG00100034656.1)
Source: RNAcentral
UGCUUAUGAAAGGGAUGUGAUGUGGAUCGGGGCCAGAAGGUGUCUAGGAGGAGGAUCUAGUGUUUUCUCAUGGAUGAAAUCACACACAAAGCCUAAGUUGACGAAACUGGAGUCAAACUUGUGACCCUCCUGCCUCAGCCUUCAAGACUGCUGGAAUUACAGAGCUGUGCCACCAUGCCUGGCUAAAUCCACACGUUCAAACCAGUCAUUCUCACAGAACUGCUUGCAAAUCGCGAAGUCCCCAAAGACCACCAAGGAGCCGAUUCCGAUGCAAACACACGAGGGUCAUUUAUUCAAGCUUGAGCAGAGGCUCCCAACCGUCACCGACGCAGCGGAUCAGAAUUGAGAGCCCCGAAUUUCAAAUUAGCGGGGUUUUUAUAGAGGUUACAGCAAGGUUUGGAGAUUUUUCACUUAGCAGUUACAUGAUUGGUUAACAUUUAGCAAGCAUGAAGUGUACAUUUCUGAUUGGCUAGGUUCAUCGUGGGGGUUGAGGGGCGGUUACAUGUAGGUUUUACGAGGGAAAGGAGGGACAAAGGUUAGUGGUCAACUGUCACGUACUGAUGGUCAGCAGACACACUGACUAUUAGUCACGACCAUUACGUACUGACAGUCAGCACAUCUACAGAUUGUUCUAUGGAUAGGGGGCCCGGAACGUUCUUUUCCUAGGUACACAGAGGGUUGAGUAAUUAACUUAGGAACUUUGCUUCGUUACAGAUUGUGUCUUUUGUCCCAGAGCAGGCACAUUUUAACCAUUAAUUUGUGAGGACAAUAGAGACUAGGGGAAUAGUGGAUUUUAGCAAAAUGGAGUCGCUUUGGUCUCACAUAAUCUAUAUCUACACUUCAUAUUUUAUGAAUUGAUAUGUGAAUAACAACAGGCUGGACAAGGCAAUGCAGUGCUAUAAUCCCAGCACUCUGGGCAGCCGAGGAAGGGGAUAGUAUGCUCCAGUAGAGCCUGGACAGUUUAUCAAAAGCCUGCCUCAAAAAAGUUUACAAGAGAGAAAAAAAUUUAAAAGUCUGGAGAUGUAACUCAGUGCAAAGGACCUGCGUCUAAGCCUCAGCACCACAAGAAAAAAUAAAUUGACAGAAUGUUUACAAC